RNAcentral lists this ribosomal RNA (372 nucleotides) under uncultured organism. Its description in RNAcentral is "partial 16S ribosomal RNA". It matches the Rfam family "Bacterial small subunit ribosomal RNA", at positions 527 to 896 of the family's 1533-position model. The record is from RNAcentral.
GUAGGUGGCAAGCGUUGUCCGGAAUUAUUGGGCGUAAAGCGCGCGCAGGCGGUUCUUUAAGUCUGAUGUGAAAGCCCACGGGCUCAACCGUGGAGGGUCAUUGGAAACUGGAGAACUUGAGUACAGAAGAGGAAAGCGGAGUUCCACGUGUAGCGGUGAAAUGCGUAGAGAUGUGGAGGAACACCAGUGGCGAAGGCGGCUUUCUGGUCUGUAACUGACGCUGAGGCGCGAAAGCGUGGGGAGCAAACAGGAUUAGAUACCCUGGUAGUCCACGCCGUAAACGAUGAGUGCUAAGUGUUAGGGGGUUUCCGCCCCUUAGUGCUGCAGCUAACGCAUUAAGCACUCCGCCUGGGGAGUACGGCCGCAAGGCUG